This 1311-nucleotide ribosomal RNA is filed under the name Bacillus sp. (in: firmicutes). RNAcentral describes it as "bacterial SSU rRNA". It matches the Rfam family "Bacterial small subunit ribosomal RNA", at positions 23 to 1317 of the family's 1533-position model. The record is from RNAcentral. Lineage: Bacteria; Bacillati; Bacillota; Bacilli; Caryophanales; Bacillaceae.
CUCAGGACGAACGCUGGCGGCGUGCCUAAUACAUGCAAGUCGAGCGGACAGAAGGGAGCUUGCUCCCGGAUGUUAGCGGCGGACGGGUGAGUAACACGUGGGUAACCUGCCUGUAAGACUGGGAUAACUCCGGGAAACCGGAGCUAAUACCGGAUAGUUCCUUGAACCGCAUGGUUCAAGGAUGAAAGACGGUUUCGGCUGUCACUUACAGAUGGACCCGCGGCGCAUUAGCUAGUUGGUGAGGUAACGGCUCACCAAGGCGACGAUGCGUAGCCGACCUGAGAGGGUGAUCGGCCACACUGGGACUGAGACACGGCCCAGACUCCUACGGGAGGCAGCAGUAGGGAAUCUUCCGCAAUGGACGAAAGUCUGACGGAGCAACGCCGCGUGAGUGAUGAAGGUUUUCGGAUCGUAAAGCUCUGUUGUUAGGGAAGAACAAGUGCAAGAGUAACUGCUUGCACCUUGACGGUACCUAACCAGAAAGCCACGGCUAACUACGUGCCAGCAGCCGCGGUAAUACGUAGGUGGCAAGCGUUGUCCGGAAUUAUUGGGCGUAAAGGGCUCGCAGGCGGUUUCUUAAGUCUGAUGUGAAAGCCCCCGGCUCAACCGGGGAGGGUCAUUGGAAACUGGGAAACUUGAGUGCAGAAGAGGAGAGUGGAAUUCCACGUGUAGCGGUGAAAUGCGUAGAGAUGUGGAGGAACACCAGUGGCGAAGGCGACUCUCUGGUCUGUAACUGACGCUGAGGAGCGAAAGCGUGGGGAGCGAACAGGAUUAGAUACCCUGGUAGUCCACGCCGUAAACGAUGAGUGCUAAGUGUUAGGGGGUUUCCGCCCCUUAGUGCUGCAGCUAACGCAUUAAGCACUCCGCCUGGGGAGUACGGUCGCAAGACUGAAACUCAAAGGAAUUGACGGGGGCCCGCACAAGCGGUGGAGCAUGUGGUUUAAUUCGAAGCAACGCGAAGAACCUUACCAGGUCUUGACAUCCUCUGACAACCCUAGAGAUAGGGCUUUCCCUUCGGGGACAGAGUGACAGGUGGUGCAUGGUUGUCGUCAGCUCGUGUCGUGAGAUGUUGGGUUAAGUCCCGCAACGAGCGCAACCCUUGAUCUUAGUUGCCAGCAUUCAGUUGGGCACUCUAAGGUGACUGCCGGUGACAAACCGGAGGAAGGUGGGGGAUGACGUCAAAUCAUCAUGCCCCUUAUGACCUGGGCUACACACGUGCUACAAUGGACAGAACAAAGGGCUGCGAGACCGCAAGGUUUAGCCAAUCCCACAAAUCUGUUCUCAGUUCGGAUCGCAGUCUGCAACUCGACU